RNAcentral lists this ribosomal RNA (253 nucleotides) under uncultured bacterium. RNAcentral's name for it is "partial 16S ribosomal RNA". It matches the Rfam family "Bacterial small subunit ribosomal RNA", at positions 524 to 776 of the family's 1533-position model. The record is from RNAcentral.
UACGUAGGGAGCAAGCGUUGUCCGGAAUCAUUGGGCGUAAAGCGCGCGUAGGUGGCUUCAUAAGUCCGUUGUGAAAGUCAAAGGCUCAACCUUUGAAAGCCGAUGGAUACUGUGGAGCUAGAGUACGGAAGAGGCGAGUGGAAUUCCUGGUGUAGCGGUGGAAUGCGCAGAUAUCAGGAGGAACACCAAUAGCGAAGGCAGCUCGCUGGGACGUUACUGACACUGAGGGACGAAAGCUAGGGGAGCGAAUGGG